This 1167-nucleotide long non-coding RNA is filed under the name Canis lupus familiaris (dog). Its description in RNAcentral is "lncRNA (ENSCAFG00030015220.1)". The record is from RNAcentral. Lineage: Eukaryota; Metazoa; Chordata; Mammalia; Carnivora; Canidae.
AUGAAAGUCACCAAAGAGGGCGGUGAAUUACCCGCUAUCACCCACGGGCCGGGGGUGAGCGGAGGCUCUUACAGCCUUGGGAUCGGGGGACCGAGGGGACGGGCAGGGCUUGUCCACACAAGUCAGCACCUGGCCUUAGCCUGGCUCUGGGGUGCGCAGGUGGGAGCGCCGUGCCCCAGCCCCGGGGAGCCCCUCGAGGCGGGCGGCGCCGGACGGCCGGGCCCGGGGGCUCACUCUGCCCCACGUGGAGACGGCUGCCCGUUUCCGUCGCCCUCCCCGCCCGACGACGGGCCUGCUGCCCGGAGACCGAGCGCCCGGGGGUGGGGGCCAGCGACCAGGGUGCGGCGUGCGCGCACGGGCCGCGGGUCCUCGUCGCUGCUCCCUCCGAGGCCGGCGACGCGAUCAGGUCCGUCCCAACACCCUCUUGCCCCCUCGUGCUUGGGGAGCCUCCCUUCCGGCGCGUCUCCAGGCCGCCCCGGACUUCCCUACGUUCCCGCAUUUAUAGGAUUGAGAAACGGAAGAAUCUGGCGGGAGAAGGGACGUGGGGCUGCCAGGCCCGCGCGGACGCCGAGGCGGGAGCCGCACCUCGCGCUUUCGUUGGAGAUGGGCGCCCUGGGGUGGAGGGGGCGCUUCCGAGGCCUUGCCCAGAGAGCCCACACUUCAGCGCGUCCCUACUCAACGGAUAGAGACCGAGGUGCCCCGUACGGAAGCGACUCGCUGCGGCCCGCCGGGAGCGGGGAGCAACCUCCCAGCGGCGCGGGGCCCGGCGCCUCCUCCGCCCCUCUCGGGGCCGCCCACCCCGGCGCCCGCCCGCUGGUCCCCACCCGCCGGAGCGCUAGGCCAAUCGGGCCGGCGGGAGCGGGAACGUCGCUCCUCGGGUCCGGCCCGGCUCUAGAUAAGCCUGGAAUGUCAAAUAUUUGUUCGGGGGGCGGGGCCCGCCGGGGAGCGAGGCUGCCCCCUGGCGGCGGGGAGCGCGCGUGCGCCUGGCGGAGUCGGCCUUCCGUCCUCGGCCGCAAGCGCCUUCGCCCCCUCGGCCUGCAUCGCUCCCUGUCGGGCUCCCGUCGGGGCUCCAGCUUCCAGGGGACAGUCCUGGCGGCACCGCCUUGCCGGCGGAGCGCUCGAUCUCGACCUCAGCCUUCCCGGAGCCCCCGUCCAUUAAACCGUUAG